UCAUAUCUAAAUUUGACAUAUGAACAUCUUCCAUUAAAUAUGACCUGUUUUUUCCUCUUCAAUGGUCUUCUAAUAUCAAUCUGAGCCCUUAUGCGCAUAUAAUUUUGAUUUCCUUUCCCAAGUUUGCUCCAUCGUAUUCCAAAAACUUCCUCCAAAAAUUACCCAAUUGUGCGGCUAAUUUUUCUGAAUAUAAACCAACUAGAACAUCAUGAAUUUGAAUCCAAAUAGGAGAAUAAAUUAAGGGAACUUUAAGCGGAUCUUCCCCCAACUGUAACCUAUAAAGGACUAACAGAUGAUUGUUGAAAGCCUAUGGAGAACCCUUAAGAACCCUUUCCAUGUUCAUAACAUGAAAAAAUUAAAAUAAAUAUUGUUUUUCUCCCAAAUCUGAAUCUGAACCCCACAAAUCGGAUGUCACAUGUCGAAACCGUUUUUUUGAAAAGAGGAAUCGACUUUGUUUGGAAACGAAAAUUAAAACGGGAGUCGCCACCGAUCUUUAUUAGGUGUGAUCGGAUCACAUUUUUUUUAAUAAAACAAUUUAGCUUACUAAAAUGGCAUUUUGGUCUACGGAAUUCAAGAGAACAAGUUCGGGAGUCAGUUACGUGCGAGGAAGGGUUAGCACCUUCGACACGCCCGAAAAAUUGGUAUCGAAUUGAUUAAUUAGUCUUAAUGUUGAAAAUUAAAAAUUGGGAAUGGAUUUAAAAUACGAUCCUUUUUAUUAACGUUAAUUUUAAAAAGUUCGAAUUAAAUCAAAGUGAUUGCUAAAGAUUUCCUCGUCUCGAGAUAUCGAAGUAUUACAUCCUGUAAGUUAGGACACGAUACCAUGAACACUCGAGCGCAAGUUGUCUUUAAUUUUAAUUGGAAUUUCGUGUAUUUUAAAACUCAAAAGGAUAAUUGGGAAUUUAGGACCAACGAGAAAAUUGAAACUUCGUAAGUUAGGGCAUGGUUUCUCGAUGUUCCAAAACGCGAAACAUUGCUUUAUUUUGAAAUUUCGUUUUGAAAUAUAGCGAGUAUGAUAUUUAACGAUGUGCAAUAUUUGUUUGAAUUAAAAAAUAAUAAUUUAUUGGAUAAAUAUAACGAGGCUUGAUUCAUGAGGCGAUGAUAUUACAUAGGAAUAUAGUAAAUGUACAUAGAAUAAUAAUGCAUGGAUACAAAAUUAUAAUAAUGCAUGGAUACAAUAUUAUAUGAAUGAAUAACAAUAAUGCAAAAAUAUGAAGUAAACGAAUUAAAAUACACAAUAUUAUAUGAAUGAAUAAUAAUGCAAUAAUCACACAACAUACAUUAUUUAAAUACUAAUCAUUAAUAAUCAAUGACAAAUGAAUUAAAUUAAAAAAAUUUACAAUGCAAAUUAAAAUGAAUAAAACGUAGAACAAAUUUUAAAAUGAUAAGAAAUGAAUUUAAAAUAAAUAAUGAAAAAAGAAAUUUAAUCAACAAUGUACAAAACAAUUUAAAAAUAGAAUAUAUGUAUAAACAAUUUUAGAAAAGGUAAUAUAGGCGAAAGUUUGUAAUAAAUAAUAUACGGGAAAAGUUUAAAAUGAAUAAUAUGUAAAAUAAUUUAAGAUAAUUAAUAUAUGAAUGAGUUUAAAAUAAAUGUUAUGUAAAAAGAAACUUAAAAUAAGUAUUAUACAAGACAUCUAAGAAUUAACUAGUAUAUAUAUAAAAAGAUAUAACAAUUUGAAAUUGAUAAUAUAUAUAUAAUUUUAAAGUAAAUAAUAAAACAAUUUAAAAUGAAAAAUGCAUAAAGCGAGUUUAAAAUAAAUAGUGUAAAAGAAUUUUAAAAUCUAUAUUACACAAAGCAAAUAAAAAAGAUACAUAUGAAUAAUUUUAAAAUAGAUAAUAUAUAUAAAUAAAAAUGUAAAAUAAAUAAUAUGGAAUAAGUAGAAUGGGUUUAAAAUAAGGUAUAUAAAAUAAUUUUAAAAUAAAUAAUAUAUAAUUUAAUUUAAAAGUAAUAAAUAAGAAGUUUAAAAUAUAUAAUACGUAAAAGAAUUAAAAUUAGACACUAUAAAUAUACUUUGUAAUAGUAACAGUUCAAAGAUAAUAAAAAGAGAGUUAUUUAAAAUACAUAAUAUACAAUAACUUAAAAUAUAAAAUAAUUUGAAAUAAAUAUAUAAUAAUUUUUAAAGAAUUAUAAAUAUCUAAAAAGCUUGAAAUAAACUAUAUGUAUACAUAUAUAUAAUAGGUAAGGAAUAAAAAAAUAAAUAAUACAUAUAAAAUAGAUUAAGGUAACAUAUAUAUACAUAAAGCAAGUUAAGAUAAAUAAUAAGAAUUUGAAUAAUCAGUACAUUAAAAUAAGUUAGAAUAGAUGUAAAUAAGUAACAUAUAAAAUAUUUGAAAUAACAUGUAAAUGAAACAUUUAAAAAGGGUUAAUAAAUGAAUUAAAUAGAUUUAGGACAUGGCUAAAAAUAAAUUAAAAUUCGGGGUAUAAAAGUAUAAAUACUGGAAAGUUAAUUAGGGAUCAAAAAGAAAACCAAAUAGGAUUUGAGGGCUAAAUUUAAAAAAACAAAAGAAGAUAGAAAAUGGGGCCUGAUUGAAUGGGGGUUGAAAAGGGGAAGGACCAAUCGCAUAAAUCUCCCUUUUAAGGAGAAUGCACAAACCGCCCACUACACCAAACGGCAUCAUGUCGUCAUCAUCAUUUAAACCAAAACCUUUUUUUUUUUAAUUUCAUUUUCAGCCCCUAUUUUUUUAAGAAAACAGAAAGCUUUUUGCUUUCUCUCCUUCCCCUUUUCUCCCCUAUUUCUCUCUUUUUGGCUAGGGCUUCAUAUACCCAUCAUCGUUGCCGUCCGACCACCGCACCACCACCGUAUUCGGUGGCCAGCGAUGCGCCAAAAUGGGCCCUUAGCCUCAUCUUGAAACACCCUAGAGAAACCAGCCCUCAAAACCCGAAAAAAAAGAGUUGAAUAGAAAUGGUUCUCAACCCCUUCGGGUUCGAUUUUGACAACGGAGGAGGACCCUCCGGCACUGCAACCGUGGGAAACCAGUGAGUCUCUUCUUCUCCCUUUUUGUUUAUGUUUCUAUUUAAAAUCGUUUUUGGUAAAGAAAUGAAAAAUACAAAUAAAAAUGUAAAUCGAAAGAAAACAAGAAAAGUAAAUCGAAAUCAACCUUUGCCUUUGCUUCUAUUCUGUUUUUUUUUUAAUGUUCGUAACCGUUUACAAAGAAAAGAUAUUGGCUUUUAAAGCCAAUCUAAAAACUGUUGGUUUCAUAGUUUUUGUUAUUUUGCCAUUUAUUUCUCUGUCGAUCGCGUGCCUUCUUGCUGUUAUUUUUUGAUUUGGUUGCAGGUGUUGCGACGCGUGGAAGGGGCAAUGUUCAGGGGCGUGGUGGCUGAGGGGAGGCCAAAAGUCGAGGGGGAGUGGCGGCUGAACUUUGGUGGCUAGGGUUAGGGUGACUGCUGAAAAAAAUUAAAGAUAGUUGGCUAGGGUUUAGUUUAUUUCGGGCCUGGUAAUUGGGUUUGAGUUUGGGUCUGAUUUUGUAAUGGACUUUAAUUAUUUGGACUUUUAAAUCUGUUUAUUUGAGAUUUAUUUUUGUAAUUGGGUUAGACCAAAAUUGGCUAUUACACCACAGAUUUGCCAUCGUUCUUUUCAUAGCUGGAAAGUGAAAAAUAAUUGCCGUUAAAAAAUAACCUACUAAUUGAAAUUCACCCCUUUCAUUACCCAAGCCAGGAUCUAAAUGGAUCUGCAAAAUUUCAUUUUUCUUCUUCAUUGAGUGACAGAUCUGCUAACUCGUUUUCCAUUGAUGCAGGUUAAUGGUGGCGUGAUGAAACACAGACUUGCAAAAAGAUGAAAAUAUGGGACAAAAAAGACAAGAAAAACAAAUAAGACCUAAACGAUCAUGCCAGCGGCGGCAGACUUAAGCUUGCUAGGGUAGCAGACGAAAAACUAUAGCUUUUAAAUAUAUGAUGAAUUUAAAAGACUAAAUUUAAUCCAUAUUCUAUUAAAUAAAUUAAAUAAAUUCAAAUUUUAACAAAAUUAAUAUUUAUUAUUUAAAAAAUGGUUUUUAGUCCAUUUUAACUCUAUUUAGAUUGCAUAUAUAAACCUAAAACAAACGGAUAAAAUAAAGAGAAACAGAUGGCAUUAAUUAAUAUCCACAAUAAUUGCAUUUUUUUAUAAAGC
Molecule: long non-coding RNA, 4103 nt
Filed under: Gossypium barbadense (sea-island cotton)
Lineage: Eukaryota; Viridiplantae; Streptophyta; Magnoliopsida; Malvales; Malvaceae
Description: long non-coding RNA (GBAR_LNC000989)
Source: RNAcentral